Molecule: ribosomal RNA, 497 nt
Filed under: uncultured bacterium
Lineage: Bacteria
Description: partial 16S ribosomal RNA
Rfam family: Bacterial small subunit ribosomal RNA
Source: RNAcentral
GAUGAACGCUGGCGGCGUGCCUAAUACAUGCAAGUCGAGCGAACAGACGAGGAGCUUGCUCCUCUUACGUUAGCGGCGGACGGGUGAGUAACACGUGGAUAACCGACCUAUAAGACUGGGAUAACGUCGGGAACCCGGAGCUAAUACCGGAUAAUAGAUUGAACCGCAUGGUUCAUUAGUGAAAGACCGUUUUGCUGUCACUUAUAGAUGGAUCCGGGCCGCAUUGGCUAGUUGGUAGGGUAACGGCCUACCAAGGCGACGAUGCGUAGCUGGUCUGAGAGGAUGAUCAGUCACACUGGAACUGAGACACGGUCCAGAAUCCUACGGGAGGCAGAAGUGGGGAAGAUUGGACAAUGGGCGAAAGCCUGAUCCAGCCAUGCCGCGUGUGUGAAGAAGGUCUUCGGAUUUUAAAGCACUUUAAGUUGGGAGGAAGGGCAGUAAGUUAAUACCUUGCUGGUUUGACGUUACCAACAGAAUAAGCAACGGCUAACUUAGUG